Molecule: ribosomal RNA, 523 nt
Filed under: uncultured soil bacterium
Lineage: Bacteria
Description: bacterial SSU rRNA
Rfam family: Bacterial small subunit ribosomal RNA
Source: RNAcentral
CCUGAGCAGCAACGCCGCGUGAGGGAUGACGGCCUUCGGGUUGUAAACCUCUUUUAGCAGGGAAGAAGCGAAAGUGACGGUACCUGCAGAAAAAGCGCCGGCUAACUACGUGCCAGCAGCCGCGGUAAUACGUAGGGCGCAAGCGUUAUCCGGAAUUAUUGGGCGUAAAGAGCUCGUAGGCGGUUUGUCGCGUCUGCUGUGAAAUCCCGAGGCUCAACCUCGGGCCUGCAGUGGGUACGGGCAGACUAGAGUGCGGUAGGGGAGAUUGGAAUUCCUGGUGUAGCGGUGGAAUGCGCAGAUAUCAGGAGGAACACCGAUGGCGAAGGCAGAUCUCUGGGCCGUAACUGACGCUGAGGAGCGAAAGGGUGGGGAGCAAACAGGCUUAGAUACCCUGGUAGUCCACCCCGUAAACGUUGGGAACUAGGUGUGGGGUCCAUUCCACGGAUUCCGUGCCGCAGCUAACGCAUUAAGUUCCCCGCCUGGGGAGUACGGCCGCAAGGCUAAAACUCAAAGGAAUUGACGG